CGGACGGGUGAGUAACACGUGGAUAACCUACCUAUAAGACUGGGAUAACUUCGGGAAACCGGAGCUAAUACCGGAUAAUAUAUUGAACCACAUGGUUCAAUAGUGAAAGACGGUUUUGCUGUCACUUAUAGAUGGAUCCGCGCCGCAUUAGCUAGUUGGUAAGGUAACGGCUUACCAAGGCAACGAUGCGUAGCCGACCUGAGAGGGUGAUCGGCCACACUGGGACUGAGACACGGUCCAGACUCCUACGGGAGGCAGCAGUA
RNAcentral lists this ribosomal RNA (263 nucleotides) under uncultured Staphylococcus sp. Its description in RNAcentral is "partial 16S ribosomal RNA". It matches the Rfam family "Bacterial small subunit ribosomal RNA", at positions 99 to 355 of the family's 1533-position model. The record is from RNAcentral. Lineage: Bacteria; Bacillati; Bacillota; Bacilli; Caryophanales; Staphylococcaceae.